GGGGUCAUUUGCUGUGAUGCUGCACUGACCUGGACAUCCUUGUAGAUCCUGGCUUUGAGGUGGGCAGGAGGAGAUGGAGCUGCCGUUUAGCCCACCUGGUGGAGCAAGGCGGUGAGCAGGGCCUGUUGCCUGUGACCACAGAGUCCUGCUUUGUCCUCAGGCCCUGGGAGCAGAGCCAAGCAAUGGAUACUGAUGACAUUUGGACAUCAUUCUUAAAUUCAACACAGCAGCUCACACUGGGAAUUUCUAGCUCAGAAAGGAUCCAAGUAGGGGGAUGAUUUGCCCCCUUCCCCCAAUUGGGCACCACACAGUCAGCAGGGAAAUGCACUAGGGUUUGGACAGAGAGCGUGCAGGGUGGGCAGCAGCACUGGAGGCAGCGUGGUGGUCGUGCCAGAGUUAUGGGAGAAAACACAUGUCAGUUGGACCUAACUGCAUCAUAGAGACUUCAUUGUUAGGGUCCACAAACCAGGCCAGCAGCCACAGUCUGUCCUCCCGUGGGAGAGCCUGGUGCCAGAUCCCAAAGACCAGAGACACAAAGAUAUCUGUGUCCAAGGGAUCCAAGGGGAAGGAGCCAUCCUGGAGCUCCAGGAGGGUGCAGCACAGGCAGCCUGAAGCACCACACUGCACAGGGAUGCACUCCUGUCCCUGGGGCCCAGCCAUCGUCAGACCAUUUGGACAGAUGAAGGCAUCUGAGGAGUCACAACCGUCAGGAUCCUGUCUCCAAGCACCUGCCUGACAAGUAGUCCCACCAUGAGGGGAACCAAAAACCCAAAACAACCACAACCAAAAGGCCUCUUCCAGCCAUGGGAAGCCAGCCAGCCCUUGCUCUUUUCAGACCCGCUCAGCCAGGGUCUGCAAGGCCAUCUCAGCCAGCUUGGGUACAUCGAGGCCCCCAACCAACCUGUGUUCUGUGAGUGCCUGCUCUAUGCCUAAACUUGCCAAGAGAGAAGAACCAGAGCUGAUCCCUGGCCCCGCCUGAGAGGGAUCUGGGCAGCUUGCAGGUGGGCAUCUGUGAAGGUCCAGUGCCAAGCAGAACUGCAGUAGCUGUAGAAUAAUACAUUUCUUGCAGGGGUUUGGCCUCAAGCAGGGAUUUGGUUCCUCAGCCUGUGGGGCUGCUGCUGCUGUUUCUGCAUCUGAGGCUGUGGCCCAGAGCCUGUAUGACAGGGCAAGCAUUCAAGGAGGAUGACAGAUGUCAAGUGUAGGAAGCAAGACCAAGUGGCCCCUGCGGCUGCACAGGACCCACAAGGACCAGCUGAAACUGCUUUGAUCUCUAGUAGGAGAGGCCAGAGCAGGGGCUACAGCAGGACCUGAAAGUGGCCACCAGCAGUUGCCCCAUGCUGACCGGGUGAGCCAGGGGGUCAGGCACACGGCCUGCACGGACCUAUGAGCGGGCAGGCUGCUCCCAUGCUGCAGCCUUCUGCGUCACAACAUGUGCUUCAGGCUGCCUUGGAACUAUUCAGAGAAGACAAUUCUGAGGAAUAACGGCCAGCUCAGCUAAGAUGACCCGACAGAAACCACCCAACAGGUAUCCAGGACGCAACCUGACAGGUGAUCAUCUCUCCUAGGAAGAGAGAGUAUCAGAGCUCCAGAAACACAACUGUGAGGAAUUCAGCUGCUCUUUUAAAAUGAGGUCCAGAGAUCAGGAAGGCUCCAGGGAGUUGGAAACAUCUCAGCUGGUUUUGGGAAUCAGAUACCAAUGUCUUCAUGCACCUGAAAUGACUUGAAGAGAAUGAUCUGAAGAGAUGCAGGCUGUGGGAUGCUGUCCAAUGGAAGAUGUGCCAAUCCUGGACCUGUCUGCCCUCAGAGCCAGUCCAAGCCCUUUCCCUCUCUGCAUUAUGGGGAUGGGCUUCAGGGAAGGAAGGAUUGAGCCUGUUAGACUGUCAUUCCUGGCUCCUGUGCCAAUUGGUUUCUGGUGGGAUUCACCCCAGAGAGAGGUGCUAAAAAGAGAGGUCAAAGGGAUUGCCGGGUGGAAGAGCUCCAAGCCCUCUCAGUUGUGGGAAACAUCCCUGUGACUCUGUGGGAAGGACCACAGAAAUGGGAGCAAUUUCAAGAGGGCAGACAGACUCUGCCCCCUGCCCUGCCAACACCCACAGCCACGAUGGCCUUUCCUCCUCCUCCCCUUCCUCCUUUUCCAUCUCGCCGCAAGCCCAGAUUUCAUGCUGAGCCCUGCACAUGAAGUGUCUCCUUUAAAUGUCAUAGAGACCCCAUUCUACAGAUGAAGACACCAACGCAUUGAGGACAUGAACAACAAGCCCAGAGGUACCCUGUCCCUCCACAGAGCUGGAUUCAGACCCAGUCUAGACCUAUUCCAGAGCCCAGCCUCACUGCGUCUGGGGCACGAUGGUCCCUGGCCUGGAGUGAAGAACACAAGAUCCGAACCUUCAGAGUACGCCUCUCUGCCUCAGCCAAGCUCUCUGAUCUGGAACCUCUGCAGGUUGUUUCUAAUUGAGAAGGUGCAGCAGAGCAGUUAGGGACCUGGACUCUCAAAUCCAGUACAGUCACAGGUUCCCAGCCACACGACCUGGGGAAGGCACCCAGCCACUCGCAGGCUGGCAGGAGGUUACGGAGGUCACAGAGGCACAGCCCUCACAGGAGAGGUGGGCGGCAUGGGCACUCAGGAAGUUAGCUGUUACCGGUCAUUAUACCUUGACACCCACUCUGCCUGUUUCUUCCCUCAAAUUUCUUGCAAGAGACCUCUGAAGAGAUUGGGAUUCUUGUUGAUUUAUGUUCAUUACUGAUGAAGUCACGACUGUCCACUCAGGGCCCAAGGACACCAGGACAAGUUAGCAGCCUGCACAGGAAUCCAGGAAGUUGUUAUUUUAAUCUUUAAUGCUAGUUUUUUUUUGCCAAGCUAAACAACUCCUAUCGGCCCCGUAGUAUGUUAACAUUUUGGGAAAAAUUUAUGAACUGCUCUAAUCCAUUUUUGGUAAAGCCCAUUACCUCUGAAUAUAGAAUCAAGGUUCCAAUUAAAGCUCUCCAUUACAGAAUUAAAGUUAUUUGCCAAACCAGAAGAGAAAAAAGAUCAUUUUUCAUAAUUUUGAAGUUCAUCUGCCUGAACAACCAGCAGUCUCCUUCCAGUCCUCAGGCAAGUGAUCAACUCAUUCAAUGUUUCAGAGCAUCAACCACAAAACAGAGAAACUUCUGGGAAUCUGGACAAAACAGUGCCUCCCCCCAAGGGAUCUCAGACAGUCGCUAGGGCUUGCACACACACAUAUGCGGCACAUACACACACUCACAUGUUUACUCUAGGAUCAUAACAUCUGUAGUCAAGGAGGUCCAAUGUUUUUAGGAAUAAAAAUAAAUCCCAAUUUCUUCCACUUUGGAAGCUCGUAGACAG
Pongo pygmaeus (Bornean orangutan) is the source of this 3337-nucleotide long non-coding RNA. RefSeq lists it as uncharacterized. Lineage: Eukaryota; Metazoa; Chordata; Mammalia; Primates; Hominidae. The record is from RefSeq and is a predicted model, not a curated record. The transcript is spliced from 5 exons.